Molecule: non-coding RNA, 1446 nt
Organism: Phascolarctos cinereus (koala)
Lineage: Eukaryota; Metazoa; Chordata; Mammalia; Diprotodontia; Phascolarctidae
Source: RefSeq, a predicted model, not a curated record
UAAUGUAAUAGAAUAUUGUGACAUAAGAAAUGAUUCAGAGAAUCCUGAGUAGUAUGAAAUGACAACAUGAAGUAAGGAGAAGCAGGAAAACAAAGACAACACUGUAAAGAAAAACAACUCUGGGAGACUCAAUUCUGACCAAUAAAUACAAUGUCUCCAGGAGAUCUAUGAUGAAGUGUGUUACCCACCUCUUGAUCUAGAAAUGAUGGGCACAAGCAUUUCUGGUUCAGAUCUGUGAUUUCACUGCUCUAUAGAACUCUAUGAUGGACAUACUGAAACUCCUAUGCCAAGGCGUCUUCGACUGGAGUGCUGAUCUACUAAAUGACGGGCUCACAGUCCUACAGCUCGCGUGUGUCAGAGGGAAGACCUGAAGCCAAGUCUUCUUGACGCCAAGGGCAGUGUGCUCUCUACUACAGCGCCCUGCUUUCUUGGUUACUAGUUUGCCUGCCUCUGCUCUCUCCUGGCCUCCUCCUACUCGUCGGAGCGUCCUUCUCAGAGUCUCAAGUUGUGUGUGGAUGAAUUUUAACUCCCCUCUGAUGCCAGAAGGUCCUCGAGAGCUGGGGAUGGAACUCUGCAUUGGUACACCCUUCCACAUCGAGCACGGUACGUCACACACUGAAGUGGCUUAAGACGUGCCGACCGAAGGAAGGAAGGAAGGGAGGAACUACACGGGGGAGCUCUGGCAAGAACCUUGGGAAAAUCCCAUAAAACACCAAAGACCUAAUUCCAAACCAGCCCCACAGCCACCACUGAGGAGAGGAUGGGGCCCACCUUACUCAUCACCACAAGUACAAAUCUUCCACCAACAAGCAGUUGAGCACAAGAGCCUUAGGAGUGGCAGCACUCCACCAGAACACCAGUCCUGCUUUCCUGCUCAGCCCUUGCAGCCAUUACUGGGGAAGAAACUCCUGGGAAGAAGGGGCCAGUCAUCCUCAACCUAUACCAGCUACCGGAUGCUCCUCAGGUCAUUAUAGGUCUUCAAUAGAUACCAGAUCUCUCAGAAUCAGAGAGAAUCAGAGGCAUCCUCAGCUCCACCUAGUCCAGCCCCUCUCCAAAAAGAAGUCCCACCAGACCACACUCCAGGGACAAGCAGGCAAGCGCCCAAUGCUUCAAGACCUUGAAGGAGGCCGACCCCAGCAGCCCCUGAGGUGAAUCUGUAGGUCCUCCAUUAGGGGAGUGCUCACGGUCAGGAAGCUGUUGGGGGUUUGUGACACCAAGCCCAAAUCUGGCUCUCUGCUGCCUCUCCCCACCAUCCCUGGCUUGGCCUUCUAGGGUUAAACAGAACAAGGCCAACGCCUCCUCUGCCACCUGAUGGCCCUUCUCCUGUCUCUGAGUCUUUGCCAGGGUAGGAACGCACAAGUUCUUCAACAAUCCUCAUGUGCUAUGGACUUGAGGCCCUCUCACCUCCCUUUCUGCCCAGCUCCUGUACUCUCCAGCUUCUCAGGG